RNAcentral lists this unclassified non-coding RNA (502 nucleotides) under Hevea brasiliensis (rubber tree). Lineage: Eukaryota; Viridiplantae; Streptophyta; Magnoliopsida; Malpighiales; Euphorbiaceae. The record is from RNAcentral.
AAUUACACCUUAUUCAAUUGUUCUACAGCAGAGAGAAAUUUAAUCAGAAAUGCGCCUUGCCUCGGAGCUCCUGGCUAUGAAGUUUACGCCAUUCCUGGUUUCAAUCGCAUUAGUGAAUACACUCUGACAUCAUGUACCAAGAUGUACGACAUUUUAUCUAUUCCCUACAUUUAUUCAUAUGAAAUUUAUCCUGAAAUGUCGAAUGCCUCAAGAAAUAUUAUUCAAUUGACGUGGUCCAAACCAGCUUGUGGAUUGUGUGAAGCAGGCGGAGGAAGAUGUGAAUUAAAGAGUGAUGGCACUGAAUUGUGCAAGAUGAGUCAUAUUACCCCAAGAACCAGUGGUGCCUCAACCAAGUUAAUAAUUGCAGGUGCAACCCUGGGUUCAUUUCUUCUGCUAGUAGCCUUCAUUGCACUUUAUCAUCUCUACAGGGCAGACAGAAAAGAAAAGGAAAAUCAAGCAAGGAUAGAGAAAUUUUUGGAAGACUACAAAGCUCUCACACCCA